UAUUGAGAGACGUACAGUGGUGCCAUCUAAAAGCGUGAGGGCGUGGCGCUCGCUCCUAAGGGAGGCUUAGUCUAACUUUAACAACGGCACGGGUCGUACCUCGGUAGUACUCGAUCAAGACCACCUGCACCGUCGUGGUGAUAUGGUGGUGUGGUGGUGAUACUGCUGAUGAUGAUGCCAGUGGUGGUAGUAGUAGUAGUAGUAGUACAGUAGAGUACUACAGACUUGGUACGGUUAAGAUACGGUUGUAUAUACACGCCAAGCCACUUAAGUGUUUAACUUUCAGGGGUAGAUAUCCAUCACCCUCCGAAUAAGAUUCGAUUCCAUCUGAUCCAGCUAUCGAGUGUUUGAUUUUUAAGUUAUCGUUGUGUUGAUACUUUUGCUAUUGCUACUGCUACUGCUGUUGUAACUUUUACUGCUUUUACUGCUGCUAUACUGGUGGGUAGUAAGUGCCAAGAGGGAUAAAGGGCACUGAACAACAGAGAAAGAUGAAUAAGCUUUGAGAAUAUGAAUGAGUUGACAUAAUCCUAUGUCUCGCUGUCACAAUGAUGUCGGUUAACAAACCAGAUAACAACCAUUGUUGUCUGUUUUUACUUAAAAAUUUAACCACUCGCUGGAUACUAUUGCACCAUUUGCUGCUUAUGUUUACAAUUUCCCAAACUGACUUUCAGACACCUCUUAAAUUUACGUCUCACAUCAACAGACCUUUUAUAUUUUUUCACUGGUAACAAAACAGAAUAAAAAAAUAUAAAUAUAAAAACUCGAGUGUGUGAAAAUGAUGUACGAGUCAUGACCGGUUUCUGUGAGAUAAGAUUGAGUGAUUUGGGUAUUUUAGUAGUGUGUUGGAGGACGUCUGAGUUUACGUUGGACACCGGAGGGAAAAUCCGAUCACGCGGUGAGAUAAAUUCACAUCAAGACUUAUGCAAUGCAUCAAUUUCCAGAUAAAUUUCAAUCUCAAGUCCAUUUUAAUUUUCUGAUGAGUUGAGUCUUACAUCGCCUGGGAUUUUCUACUGAUUUGACUGCAUACCCAACUCUUGGUCUUGUAUAAACGGGCAUUUUCUACUAGUUAUACAUUAAAAGAAUAAUAAUACUGCUACUACUAUUACUCUAGCUACUGUUAUUAUAACUGACUGUAACAUUUUUUAUUAUGAUACUUGAAUCUGUAGUGUACCAUCGACACUGAAGACCCUUGUUGCUGCGCCUGAAAUACAGGGCGAAGAAGGUGAUGGCCCGUACCGUGCGCUCGCGACGAAAGAUGGCAAACACAACAGAUACUGCCACAGUAACAGGGAGCAGUCUUCUCUCAACAACAAGCUCAACGUCUUUUAUUGAUGCGACAAAUACGUCAUACCCGACAACGUCAUAUCCGACUGAGAGCUACAGUAGCUUCAACUAUAGCAGUUUAGCCAACAGUUUUGCUGUAGGGGGCUACUCUCUAGAUGACCUAAACUACACAGAGCUUUGGAUCGACGUUUGGAAUAAUACUGAAGCCACUAAUGUUACAGAGAGACUAAAUUCAACGGUACUACCAUCCGGUGGUUAUUGCGAUGAGUGGGAAGCCGCACAACACAAGCUUUUUCAGGCUGCAAAUUUAUUUUUUGCUGCGGCAUUUAUCGUACCACGAUCAUUCAAAGCCUCUGUACUGGCACUGCGAACAUUUCUGACAGCUGGAUUUAUGCUGGCAGCGCUGUGGGCAGGAAUGACUAUUUGUGCAUUAGACGCAAUGCUCUGGUCACUAGCAUUGGGAUUAUUGAACGGGGUUCAUUCUCUCAUACUCGCGUGUCGUUUUUUACCACCAGCACUGAGUCCAGAACUAGCCGAACUGUAUCUUAAGCUAUUUAAGCCUUAUCGUGUCAGUAAAAAACACUUUCAAGAGCUUGCUAAGGAAGCAAGGAUACUUAAACUUGAUCCAGGUCAGACUUACGCCACUGAGGGUGUAUCACCAGCUGACGAAAGACUUUCUAUUCUUUUACGGGGCAAUCUAAAUGUGACAUGUGAAGGUACACAUUUGCAUUACGUUAAAUCUUAUCAAUUUGUCGAUUCACCAGAAUGGGAAGCAACACAUGAAAAUAUUGAUGAUGUAUUUCAAGUAACGAUAAGAGCUGAAGAAUCGAGUACAUAUAUUUGUUGGACAAGACUGAAAUUAUUACGUGUCCUUAGGCAUCGGCCACUACUAAAAGUUGUACUUAAUACACUUAUCGGCAAGGAUAUUACCUCAAAGCUCUAUGCAUUAAAUGAACAAUUAGCUGGUUUUGUAACGACACAAGAACAGACUAACAGCAGUAAUCCUUAUCGUGGUAUGGCUCGAAGUAUGAGCGUCGAUGCUGUUAAUACUGAGACUGCGGGAAGAGUUAGAUCUACAACCUGGAAAACACAACGGAGACAUAGUAAUCCACGAAGUUCACCUCAACGUGUUUCAAAUCAAUACUGGACGCCAGUUGUUGCUAAUCAUUUUACACCAUCAUCUCCAUUUAUUUCGAUGCAACAAAACGUUGGUUAUUCAUUAAUACCACAAAGUGUUAAAUUUUCAUCACCGCCGCCACCACCGCUACCACGUCUACCUGUCGUUACACAUCCGCCAUUAAUAAGACAACGCAGUGCCGGUGGACCCGGUGGUGACUAUACAUUACUCCCACAAACGCCAAAGCUCGAACGCAAACGAUCCAAAAAAGCUACCAGAGAGGUGACCUUUGAGACACCUGUAUGACGUUCGCUUGACGGGGAGGGUCCAGCAAGUGUCCCGCUUCUAUCGUUUUCACCGAAACGCACUGGAACCUAGCCCCGUCAGCAUUUAUUAAACUAUCACAGUCAUCAAUCUAUUGUUAUUAUCAUUAUUAUUAUUACCGAUACUAUUUAUAAAAAAAAAACAAAGAUUACGUUUAAUAGUAUAUCUUUAUAUUUAUUAACACAUCUGAGAUAAAAAUAAUAAUGAUAAUAAUAAUAAUAAUAUUUAGGCAAAGUGGCCUAAAUGCAAUUAAUGAGAAAGUGAUCUUCCAUACGACGUUAAGUGACAAGUGAUUUUAAAAUAUUUAAACAAUAUAAAAAUAAUAAUAAUUAAGAACAAAAGUUACUUGUAAUUUAUUUAUUUAUAUAUUUUUUGCGGAGUUUUAAAUUAGUACAGCAUGAUAACAGCGCACUCGCGUCAUGAGAGCAGCCAAAAACGUCAAACUUUGGUAACUAUCGAUCGUGUGCCAUUGAGAAGUAAAGGAUGGAGAUUAAUUUUGGAGUGAUAGCCAAAAAAAACGUCAGUCGAUUCAUAGUGAUGAGAAAACUUUUUUAGCAGCAUCUGUAGCACAAACAUGGGCACAGUGUGCAAAAACUUGCAAUACUGUACAUGUAACGUGUUGAGGGUUGAAAAAAAUAAGUUUAAGGAGGAGUUGGGUGAAAAGGACGAAAUGGCGGGAAACGGGCGAGUGGAUCGAUGCCGAAGAAGCCGAAGCAAAACGUAACAGCUCGUGGCCAAACCCUGGAUACUUAUACCACUGUUGACCUUUACAACUAUUUAUUUAUUUUUUUAAUAUAAUUAUUAUUGUUUUUAUGCUCACUCGAAAGUACACAUAUUGCACACAAGCCCUUUAUUUUUAACUUUACGACUUUACUUGUAUUUCUCAAUAAUAAAUAUGAAUAUUUUAAUACCAAAUACCAAGAAAAAUAAAUUAAAAAAUGAGA
Microplitis mediator is the source of this 3669-nucleotide RNA transcript. It is a transcript of the gene named blood vessel epicardial substance-like, with no coding region annotated. NCBI's taxonomy places the organism in Eukaryota, Metazoa, Arthropoda, Insecta, Hymenoptera, Braconidae. The record is from RefSeq and is a predicted model, not a curated record. The transcript is spliced from 7 exons.